This is a long non-coding RNA of Apis laboriosa (Himalayan honeybee), 377 nucleotides long. RefSeq lists it as uncharacterized. The record is from RefSeq and is a predicted model, not a curated record. NCBI's taxonomy places the organism in Eukaryota, Metazoa, Arthropoda, Insecta, Hymenoptera, Apidae. The transcript has 4 exons.
CGUUACGGGGCGUCAUGGGCGCUAUGGGAGGUGGUUGAGCCUCGGACGUCGUCCUCGAGGCGGCUUGAAAUUCCUGGAACGAUUCCUCCUCGUCCUCGGAGAACAGAUUGGGAUUGAAGAAAGAUUGCUCGUCGUAAAAAAACGAGGAGGGAAGGAAUACGAAACAAGCAUUCGAGAGAAUUAAUAUGCGAAACAGGUGUUGCUCUUUAUUGAUUAAUUAUAAGGAUGUUCAAAUGUAUUUACCUCAGGCGAUCCGCACAGGUCGGCCGUGUCCCUUUCCGUAUCGGAUCCAUCGCUGAACGAGGGACACUGCGACGUAUCUUCCACCACUUGAAGGGUGUCCUGACUUUGUGGGUCGAAUAUCACAAAUUCUGGCC